This 2115-nucleotide long non-coding RNA is filed under the name Bactrocera tryoni. RNAcentral's name for it is "uncharacterized LOC120780478". The record is from RNAcentral. Lineage: Eukaryota; Metazoa; Arthropoda; Insecta; Diptera; Tephritidae.
CUGCUAUUGAUGCAAGUGGCGGCAAUGUAAAUUUUUUACUUUUGUAUACUGUGCUGCUGUAAUUAAUAAAGUAGCAUUUAUGGAUAGGUAUUUGAUUAAAAAAAAACAAGCCGUCAGAGCCAUCGGAAAUAAUUGUCCCACUAUCUUAUAGUGAAAGCAGUUUAGUUCUUUGGAAACAUUAUUAUAUUCCAAACGCUUAUUUUUUUCAUACUUGAUAGCGACACUCAUGAAGCACAAGCAAAAAAAAACUGAACGAAAGUUUAGGUCAGCUUGGCUAAGUAAAUUUCCUUGGCUGCAGGACAACGAUGCGUCCAGCUUUUGUAUAGCCUGCGAAAAGAAAAUUGCAAAUAACGUGACGUACUUUAACAAGCAUUCUAAUUUAUCCUGCCACUUGCAAAAUGUUGAGCGUAAAAAAGAUCAAGUGAACAUCGAAUCAUGCAUGAAUGUGGAAAAGCAGCAACUUUCCCAGCAAGUGCGUCAAGCUGAACUGACAUUGGUCAUGUUUUUGAUAUGCCAUUUCUGUUGAUGUAUUCUUUGCCGUCUCUUAUUAAAGAAUGCUGCCCGGACUCAAAAAUUGCAGCUGCUCUUCAAAUGGCAAGAACCAAGUCAGCAAAUGUAGCAGAAAUUUUAGGUAAUAAGGCAAGGGAUAAAAUUGUGGAUCAAUUAAAACAAAUAAAAUUUUCGCUCAUUGUUGAUGAAACUACCAACGUAUCAACGAAGAAAUCGUUAGUCUUAAUUGCGAGAUAUUUUGACCAUUUGACAAAAAGAAUAAGCGACAAAUUUUUGGGUUUAAUCAGCGUAGUAAAGUAAAGUAUUAAAGAAUUUUUCAACGAACAGGGCGUUCCAUUAGAGAACAUCAUAGGUCUCGCCACCGAUGGCGCAAAUGUAAUGGCUUCAGAGGUAAAUGGAUUAGCAGGAAAGUUUAGAAACGAUGUUAAUUUGUUUUAUUUAAAAUGUUCUUGCCAUUCACUACAUUUAUGUUCCGCUUACGCGUGUAAAAAACUGCCUGGUCAAAUUGAACAACUUUGCCGUAAUAUUUACAAAUUUUUUGCACACAGUCCAAAAAGAAUUGAAGAAUUUAAAGAUUUUCAAGAUUAUUGUUCGGUGCAGCCACAUAAAAUAUUGGGUAUUUCCAUGACCAGAUUUCUUUCACUGGAAGCAGUCAUAAAUAGAAUAAUAGAACAGUGGAAUCCAUUACAGUUAUAUUUUUUAGACUCUGUGUUGGAAGUAAAUGGAAUCAAAGCCAAUGAGAUGGCAGUGCAAAUGAAUGAUCCUGAAAUCAAAACCUACUUUUUUUAUCAUAUAUCCUCAAAAUCAUAAAUGAUCUCAACAGGGAAUUUCAAUCGGAAAAAGUUCGCUUGCCUUAUUUAUAUUCCCAUCUGGACACGACUUUCAAAUUAUUAUUAAGCAAUUUCAUUAAAAUUGAAUAUGUAAGCGGUUAUCAUUAGAAAAUAUUAAUUUCCACGAAAAAGAAAACUAUUUACCAAUAGAAGAAAUAUGCAUUGGAUCCAAGGCAGAACAACAUUUGCAAAAAAAUAAACUAUCCUUUUCUGAUACAGUUAGAAUAAAAAAUAGCAUUUUAAAUUUUUAUUUGGAGCUGUUGCAGCAAAUUAAAAAAAGGUUCGAUUUUUCGAGAAAUGACCUAAAAUUAUUAUCGAUUAUUACGCCCAGCAUAGUUUUAUCUGAUCAUCAAACACAAAUUGAGCCCUUGUUGUAUCAAUUUUCCAAUUUAUUUGAAUUUAAUGAGGACGUAAUUGUACAGCAAUGGAAAAUAUUAAGAUUUUCCAAACUCGAUUUGAAAAGGGAUAUGGAUAUUGAAGAUUUGUGGGAACAAGUUUCAUACCAUAAAGAUGGAAUGGGCCAACAUUGUUUUAAGGAUUUGACCAAUUUGGUACAAAAUUUAAUAACAUUGCCGCACAGCUCAGCAGCUGCUGAACGGCAAUUUUCUGAAUUAAAUCUGAUAAAAACGAAAUUGAGAAAUAAACUCAGCUUAAAAACUAUUAAUAACAUAAUGCUGGCCAAAGAACUGUGCACUAGUCGCAAGCCAAAUUAUGUUUGGUCUGCUGCAAAAGAAAAUCUUUAAAAAUAUAUGAAAGUUUAAAAAAUUACACAAAC